UGGGGAAUUUUGGACAAUGGGCGAAAGCCUGACCCAGCAAUGCCGCGUGUGUGAAGAAGGCCUUCGGGUUGUAUAGCACUUUUGUCCGGAAAGAAAUGGCUCUGGUUAAUACCUGGGGUCGAUGACGGUACCGGAAGAAUAAGGACCGGCUAACUACGUUCCAGCAGCCGCGGUAAUACGUAGGGUCCAAUCGUUAAUCGGAAUUACUGGGCGUAAAGCGUGCGCAGGCGGUUGUGCAAGACCGAUGUGAAAUCCCCGAGCUUAACUUGGGAAUUGCAUUGGUGACUGCACGGCUAGAGUGUGUCAGAGGGGGGUAGAAUUCCGCGUGUAGCAGUGAGAUGCGUAGAGAUGUGGAGGAAUACCGAUGGCGAAGGCAGCCCCCUGGGAUAACACUGACGCUCAUGCACGAAAGCGUGGGGAGCAAACAGG
This 429-nucleotide ribosomal RNA is filed under the name Acidobacteriota bacterium. Its description in RNAcentral is "Acidobacteria bacterium partial 16S ribosomal RNA". It matches the Rfam family "Bacterial small subunit ribosomal RNA", at positions 355 to 776 of the family's 1533-position model. Lineage: Bacteria; Pseudomonadati; Acidobacteriota. The record is from RNAcentral.